This 280-nucleotide ribosomal RNA is filed under the name Faecalibacterium prausnitzii. Its description in RNAcentral is "partial 16S ribosomal RNA". It matches the Rfam family "Bacterial small subunit ribosomal RNA", at positions 497 to 776 of the family's 1533-position model. Lineage: Bacteria; Bacillati; Bacillota; Clostridia; Eubacteriales; Oscillospiraceae. The record is from RNAcentral.
UAUGGUAUGUGCCAGCCGCCGCGGUAAAACGUAGGUCACAAGCGUUGUCCGGAAUUACUGGGUGUCAAGGGAGCGCAGGCGGGAAGACAAGUUGGAAGUGAAAUCCAUGGGCUCAACCCAUGAACUGCUUUCAAAACUGUUUUUCUUGAGUAGUGCAGAGGUAGGCGGAAUUCCCGGUGUAGCGGUGGAAUGCGUAGAUAUCGGGAGGAACACCAGUGGCGAAGGCGGCCUACUGGGCACCAACUGACGCUGAGGCUCGAAAGUGUGGGUAGCAAACAGG